CAAUAGCGUAUAUUUAAGUUGCUGCAGUUAAAAAGCUCGUAGUUGGAUUUCGGGUGGGAAUGGCCGGUCCGCCGUUUCGGUGUGCACUUGCUACGCCCACCUUGCUGCCGGGGACGUGCUCUUGAGUUCACGCUCGGGACACGGAGUCGGCGAGGUUACUUUGAGUAAAUUAGAGUGUUCAAAGCAGGCCUACGCUCUGAGUACAUUAGCAUGGAAUAACACGAUAGGACUCUGGCCUAUCUUGUUGGUCUGUAGGACCGGAGUAAUGAUUAAGAGGGACAGUCGGGGGCAUUCGUAUUUCAUUGUCAGAGGUGAAAUUCUUGGAUUUAUGAAAGACGAACUACCGCGAAAGCAUUUACCAAGGAUGUUUUCAUUAA
This 377-nucleotide ribosomal RNA is filed under the name uncultured eukaryote. RNAcentral's name for it is "partial 18S ribosomal RNA". It matches the Rfam family "Eukaryotic small subunit ribosomal RNA", at positions 592 to 976 of the family's 1831-position model. The record is from RNAcentral.